AGGAACUGAAACAGGUGGAGGAUCACCAAAAGUGCUAUGUGCCGGGGUAGCUGGGCCAUGCUUGGAAUUGAAGUACUCAAUCUUGGCGUGAACUGCUGCCUGCUUCAUUAGCUCCUCAUAUGGGUUCCAAGGGUUACUAUGAACCAAGUAGCGGAAGUUGGACUUACGGAGGCCACUCUUAAAGGCACCGAAGGGAGCGCGGUCAUCAGUCUCUGGGCAGCAUGAGUAUUCAUGGCUGAAUCGGGCUACAUACUCCUGAAGGGGCUCGUCC
RNAcentral lists this long non-coding RNA (271 nucleotides) under Prunus persica (peach). Its description in RNAcentral is "long non-coding RNA (PPER_LNC007738)". Lineage: Eukaryota; Viridiplantae; Streptophyta; Magnoliopsida; Rosales; Rosaceae. The record is from RNAcentral.